Molecule: ribosomal RNA, 497 nt
Filed under: uncultured bacterium
Lineage: Bacteria
Description: partial 16S ribosomal RNA
Rfam family: Bacterial small subunit ribosomal RNA
Source: RNAcentral
GAUGAACGCUGGCGGCGUGCCUAAUACAUGCAAGUCGAGCGAACAGACGAGGAGCUUGCUCCUCUGACGUUAGCGGCGGACGGGUGAGUAACACGUGGAUAACCUACCUAUAAGACUGGGAUAACUUCGGGAAACCGGAGCUAAUACCGGAUAAUAUAUUGAACCGCAUGGUUCAAUAGUGAAAGACGGUUUUGCUGUCACUUAUAGAUGGAUCCGCGCCGCAUUAGCUAGUUGGUAAGGUAACGGCUUACCAAGGCAACGAUGCGUAGCCGACCUGAGAGGGUGAUCGGCCACACUGGAACUGAGCCACGGUCCAGACGCCUACGGGAGGCAGCAGUAGGGAAUCUUCCGCAAUGGGCGAAAGCCUGACGGAGCAACGCCGCGUGAGUGAUGAAGGUCUUCGGAUCGUAAAACUCUGUUAUUAGGGAAGAACAAAUGUGUAAGUAACUAUGCACGUCUUGACGGUACCUAAUCAGAAAGCCACGGCUAACUACGUG